GCUGAAUAUACCGGUUCUCGUUAGAUCACCGAAGUCAAGCAUCAUUGGGCGCGGUCAGUACUUGGGUGGGUGACCACCGUGGAACACACCGUGCCGUUG
Non-coding RNA from Caerostris extrusa, 99 nucleotides. The record is from the annotation of a GenBank genome assembly. Lineage: Eukaryota; Metazoa; Arthropoda; Arachnida; Araneae; Araneidae.